CUUUUUCCUCUUAGGAUUCUUGGGGCAAGGUUCUUAUUGGGGACAUGGAGUUGAAGAGGGUAACGGCUUGUACCAGGUACAUUCUUACCACAGUGGAUCUGGACACAGGUGUGUCAUGAGCAGGAAGGAGCCACUGGAAACACUAAAGAGUUACCGCCAGUGUGACCCUUUGCAAGUAAAGUUAUAUGGAAACUCGCCCCUCUUUGGACAGUAUUAUGUUCUGGAGAAGCCAGGGACAGUCCAAGUGGGAAACCCUGUGUUCUUGCUGGGCCCGGUGGGAGCCAGAUGGUU
Long non-coding RNA from Dipodomys spectabilis (banner-tailed kangaroo rat), 291 nucleotides. RefSeq lists it as uncharacterized. NCBI's taxonomy places the organism in Eukaryota, Metazoa, Chordata, Mammalia, Rodentia, Heteromyidae. The transcript has 3 exons. The record is from RefSeq and is a predicted model, not a curated record.